RNAcentral lists this long non-coding RNA (443 nucleotides) under Eucalyptus grandis. Its description in RNAcentral is "long non-coding RNA (EGRA_LNC001194)". The record is from RNAcentral. Lineage: Eukaryota; Viridiplantae; Streptophyta; Magnoliopsida; Myrtales; Myrtaceae.
CUAUCAUUUUGCUAUCUGCAAUCUCAUUAUAUCAAUAAAUCCACGUUUGAGCACACUUAGAGAUAUGCAGUCUUUCCAAAAACUCCAAUGUAUCGAGGCCUUGAAUUUCGGUUAAGUUUCUGCAGCUUUUAGCUUUUAAUUCCUUUAGUCUCCCGGAUUUUGGAAGGAUCAACCGUCCAAUUGAAGUGCACUUAGAGAUAUCCAAUCUUUCCAAAAACUCCAAACUAUCGAGAUCUUGAAUUUCGGCUAAGUUUGUGCAGCCUUCAGCUUUUAAUUCCUUCAAUCUUUCCAAAAACUCCAAUGUAUCGAGGCCUUGAAUUUCGGUUAAGUUUCUGCAGCUUUUAGCUUUUAAUUCCUUUAGCCUCCCGGAUUUUGGAAGGAUCAACCGUCCAAUUGAAGUGCACUUAGAGAUAUCCAAUCUUUCCAAAAACUCCAAACUAUCG